Molecule: ribosomal RNA, 446 nt
Filed under: uncultured bacterium
Lineage: Bacteria
Description: partial 16S ribosomal RNA
Rfam family: Bacterial small subunit ribosomal RNA
Source: RNAcentral
CCUACGGGGGGCAGCAGUCGAGAAUCAUUCACAAUGGGGGAAACCCUGAUGGUGCGACGCCGCGUGGGGGAAUGAAGGUCUUCGGAUUGUAAACCCCUGUCAUGUGGGAGCAAAUUAAAAAGAUAGUACCACAAGAGGAAGAGACGGCUAACUCUGUGCAAGCAGCCGCGGUAAUACAGAGGUCUCAAGCGUUGUUCGGAAUCCCUGGGCGUAAAGCGCUCGUAGGCGGUAUGUCAAGUCAAGGGUGAAUGCCCCGCGCUCAACGUGGGAACUGCCUUUGAAACUGGCAAACUGGUGUGUGUGAGAGGAUAGUGGAAUUCCAGGGGUAGGAGUGAAAGCCGUAGAUAUCUGGAGGAACAUGAGUGGCGAAGGCGACUAUCUGGCACAUAACUGACGCUGAGGAGCGAAAGCGUGGGUAGCAAACAGGAUUAGAUACCCGUGUAGUC